GCCCGGUUAGCUCAAUCGGUAGAGCGUGAGACUCUUAAUCUCAAGGUUGCGGGUGAGUAGCACAUUCGUACAUAGAAAAAAAAAAAAAAAAAGUGCAGCAAAAUUUACUAAUUCCCGCUAGGUUCGACCCCCGCAUCGGGCU
This is a non-coding RNA of Xylaria cubensis, 142 nucleotides long. The record is from the annotation of a GenBank genome assembly. Lineage: Eukaryota; Fungi; Ascomycota; Sordariomycetes; Xylariales; Xylariaceae.